This is a long non-coding RNA of Anolis carolinensis (green anole), 8329 nucleotides long. RefSeq lists it as uncharacterized. Lineage: Eukaryota; Metazoa; Chordata; Lepidosauria; Squamata; Anolidae. The record is from RefSeq and is a predicted model, not a curated record. The transcript is spliced from 2 exons.
GACCCAGAAAGAAGUCCCCGCGCCUUCGCUCUCUGCGCCUCGGCUUGGGGAGUGUGUGUGUGCCUGCCUGGGCGCGCUUCCCCUCUUCCUCUCUCUCUCUCUCUUUUCAAAGUCUGGGGAACCUGAGCCUUGAAGCGGAGGCAAGCUCUCCGCCGGCUCCCCCUCCUCCUCUUGCCCCCUCCCUCUCCCCCUCUUGCAUUCCUCUCUUUCCCAGGGGCCCCGCCGACCCCGGUUGAAAUGGACGCGUCUCGGCAGUUGCAGAAGGCGCUUGGCAACUCUUCUGGAAAGUCGCCGCCGCCUCCUUUCUCUCUCUUUCUCUCUCUCUCUCUCUCUCUCUCUCUCCCCGCCUCCCUCGCUCCCCCUUCCCCCGCCCAACCAGGAUCUCCCCCCCCCCUUCUCUCUCUUUCUCUGUAUGUGUGCAGGAAAUCCCUCCCAGGCUCCUCUUCUUCCCUCCUGAUUGGAAAAACCGAAGCGCGGGGGAGUUGCCGGGCGAGGAGGGCGCCAGAAGGACACCUGAGACCUCGGCGGGGUUUGGAGACAUGUGCGCACAGGGUCACCCUACACAGAGCACACUGGGACGUAGUGUGACUAAAGCUUGAACAACUGUUGCCAAACCAGGCUGAUUUUCCGGAAAUACUGAGCUGGUGCAUUGAAUUGUGCCAGUAAAUUCUUUGCCAUCAUUGUCCCAUGGGGAUUCAGGGACUGUAUAAGAUCAAGGAACCUUCUCAGGCUACUAACCUGGUCUUUCCAGAACAUCCUAAUCUAUAAAUUCAGACUUUCAACGAACAUGCACUUCUUUCCCAUCUCAUUCUGAUACUUUGAGUUUAAAGGUCUCUGCAACCUGACACUUGCAAAUAUUCUGUAACCCGUAGACUUUCAUGAGAGAAUGAAGAAAAAAGCUGAACAAUCUGAACUGUGUCCAUAUUGUUCUGAUAGGAUUAUGGCGUGUAGUAUGUCGCUAUCACACAUUGAAGUGUAUAUAUUUCCAUAUACAACAUCUGCACCUGUGAGAUCUGGACCAGCAGUUUCACUUACCCACAUCUGACAAAAUAUAUCCUCUCUAGAAAUUUUCUAGGUACUCCAGUGUGAUGCUGUGGCAACUUCUGGCAGAAGUGGUUAAAUUCCAUAAGGUUUACUGUUAUUUAUCUACAUUUCCUGUUUCCACAGUAAGUUCAGUAACAUAUCCCCAGCAGGUAUGAGGGUUAUAUAGAGCAAGUGAAUCAGACAGUGAGUCAUUUUACAUUUUCAGUCAUCCCCUUUAUUUUAAAAUGUUUGAGGUAUAAUAUUAAAAGAGCAUCAUGGAUACAUCAUUGUGAUACUUUCAUUUAUCUGUGCAUCGUCAACCUAUGUAGAAUGGUGGUUAGGGUGUUAAGCUAGGAGAAUGGGACAAUAAAAUUUAAUAAGAAGCUCACUGGGAAACCAUAGACCUAACUUACGUCACACAGUUAUUAGUACGAAAUGGGUGGGUUGAAAAGUCUCAUCUAUGCUAUUCCUAAAACCAUUGAGAAAUAGACAUCCAGCAAAUAAAUAAAGUGUCAAUAAUGUGUUUGUAAUUGCUUGUGUCUGUUGUUGAUGAUAGUUUGUGGCUUUAAGAAAAUGAUGCAAUAAUUUAAGAGAUUAGCUGAAAUAAAGGUUUCCAAAUUUAUUUGGGAAUAAAUGUCAUUCUAUAUAUUGAUAGACAUCUGUCAAGAGUGGCCAGGAUGGAUGGGGUUCAUGGGAAUAGAAGCCCUGUGGCAUUCAGUUAAAAAUCCAUUAAAAUGCAUGACAAGGAAGACCAGGGAUGGUAAGAUCUCUGUGUGGAUUCAUGUUGUUCUGUAUGUUUAUGAAAUAGCUCUUUGCCCUCGUGUCUUGUGACAGCAGUUGCUCCCUUGACCCAGAAGGCUUCAAACCCAAACCACUACAAUAACAGUUUUGACUUUCCUUUGGCUUUUCCCCCAUAUUAUGCAGUAAUUUAUUUUUCAAAAUGAGCAGGCUCUAGGUUUGUUAUCUAAGUACAACAUACCCCUCACCUGUGCUCUGAAAUAAGGAAUACUUCAUCCUCAUAGGAAUGCAUCUUCUAAGUUGUUUUGGAAUCUGUAAAAGAAUGACCUCAUUCCAUGACCAUGUAGGAAAUCUGUUUAUCAUAUGUACCAGCAAUAUCCUUAAGCAAGUAAAUUCUUUAGUUUUGGCCAAGGACUGUGACCUUGUUAAUGGUUUUAGUAAGCCCAUCAAGUGCAUUUUUAGAGGUAGUACAGCCAUAAGUAGAUGAAUAAAUUAUCCAGAAUUGCCUUUGGCGUGGUCCAUGGAAUGCAGGUGUAGGAAUCAUGUGACCCUGACUGACAGUCAAAGGAAGGCUUGUUCCUUCUCAGCCAGAGUCCUCCACAACCUCACCGGACUACUAGUCCCAAGAUCCAAUGGACUUUGAAAGUCAAAGCGUAAUAAUAGAGCUAUUAAUCCAGCCCAGGUGUUGCUGAACUGCAGCUUCGGCCUACUCAAACAGUUAGGGAUGAUGGGAAUUUUCAUCCAAAACAUUGGGAAUAUCACAUGUUCUCCACCCAAACAUAGUCAUGGACCUGGAAUUUUGUAUGGGUGGUUGUAAGACAGUCAUUCCUGCAACUUGAGUGCUGUCUUACUGUUGAAUGUGGGUAGUACAUCUCUAAAUAAAAGCUAUAGAUUUUUUGGAAAUUCUGAUCAUGUCCUUCUCAUAAAUCCUGACAGAUUCUUGCACUUUCCCAAGUCCCGUUAGAAAAUCCUUGGUUCUCUCAAAGAGAUUCUCUUCCAUUUUCCUCCAGGAUCAUCAUCAGCAGCAGUUUAAUUGUAAGAAUGACUAAAACCAUGCAGUUCUGAUAGACCAGUUUCACUUAGUUGUCUUUCCCCCAAUCAGCCAUAAUGAAAUGGCAUCAUUUUCUGUAUUGGUGUGUGUAUAUAUGCCUUCAGGCCAGGGGUGCCUUCAGCUUGGUUCUUUGAUCUGGUUCAGGGGUACAAACUCUCAAUUCCAUUUUGCAAGUUCUCCAAAGGUCAAACUGCAGAAUGCUCUGUAUUGUGUCAGGUAGUCUCACACGCAAUUGUACAUUUUAAAGUCCAAGUGCACAUCAAGAUAGUCUCCAUACCUGUGCCCUCUAGGAGGGUCCAAAAUGAAGCCAGCUGUAUUGAUAUAUCUCUUCUGCUAUGUACAGGUGAGAUGAUAGCUGUUGCCUCCAUGGUCUGUGAGUGAUGGCCUUUUCUCUCAGAUCUUCAAAUGAUGUCCUGUUUCUGGUCUCAUUAUAUUUGAGGCAUGUUUUGUGGGGAGACAAAAAAGGGUUUUCUUAGUGGCUGUUCCCUGGCUGUAACACCAUCUAACCCUUCUAAGAGAAGAUGGCUUAUUUCAAUGGUUCUCAACCUGUGGGUCCUCAGGUGUUUUGGCCUACAACUCCCAGAAAUCUCAGCCAGUUUACCAGCUGUUAGGAUUUCUGGGAGUUGAAAGCCAAAACAUCUGGGGACCCACAAGUUGAGAACCAUUGGCUUAUUUCCUGUUAUCCUUCCCAUGGCAGGAAAAUAUAGGCCAACUGGCAGAUGAGCUGUGUUGCCAAGGAAGGGCCUUUUAAUUGGUUAGAUGGUGUUACUUAUUUUACUGGUGGGUAUUUGAUCCAUGUUUGCUUUAUUUGAUUGUAUCUCCAUCACUUGCUGCCUUGAAUGCCAUCAUUGGUGGCAGGGAAUACACAUCCAUAUAAAUCCAACAAACAAAUUCUUUUCAGAGAAUAUUUCUAAGGGAGAUCUUAGAGCCCAGCUAGGUUUGUAUGGGGGGGGGGGGAACACAGUCCUUCUGACAGACCAAACGAAAGGGUAUUUUAUAGGGUGCUUUGAUGUGUGGAGUUGGGAACCCUUUAAGAGAUUCCUUGGGAGGCAGCACUGGGAAACUAUUGGGGAUUGCCUUCCCCCACCUUGCAUCAGUGGGAUUGUAGGGGAAGUACAGAAAUCAGUCAAGUUCUGUCCUUCCACUCACUUCCACUGGCAGAACUCUACCAUCAUAUCCAUAAUUUCUUGUAGUCUAGAAAAGAUUUAUGCGCUGAAAAAUGGGACCUCCAUCUGAUACAGCUUCUUUUUAGGUGUCUCAUGAUAGGCAUUUUCUUAAAGAGUUUGGACAAUUUUCAUGACAUUCUAUGGCUGGAAUCUGCUCAGAAAUAAUGCAGACUUUCUUUCCCAGCCAGGAGGUGGUAAAACUUCAAAAGGGACAUUUCCUCUGCAAGAGCUAGUGUGAUGUAGUGGUUGGGAGUCUAAGACUGGAACUGCAGAACAGGAUUUCUCAGCCAUGGGCGCUUACAGGGUGCCCUUGGACAAAUCAUACACUCUGCCUCAGAGGAAGACAAAGGGAAAACACCUCUGAACAAAUCUUGUCAAGAAAACCCUGUGAUAGGGUCACCAUAAAUUGGAAUUGACUUGAAAGGACACCACAACAACCAUGCACCCUCCCCAUCUCCACCAGCCCUAACUAAAUUCCCGGGAGCCAAUAUAAUGAUUCAUUAGACUAUAUUUUAAUGUCUAAGGACUAAUUCGAAGAAAUACCAAGAACCCAUAAUUUCUAGCGGCAUCCAUUUUAAUCAGCUCAUUCCAAAUAUUCGGAAAUUAUCCUAAACUAGGUUUUAUUGAGCGGGCUGAAUUUCUAUGAAGAGAAAUGGAGGAGGAAUGGGAUCCUUGUCUCUAAGACACACCCUGUCUUUUUACACAUCUUCAUAAAGAGAUUAUUAUGCAUCUUUGGUUAUAAAUGUCAGCAUUUUAUGGCAGUUAUUUUGAGGCUCUAUCUAUAAGUAGACUGGCUUGGGAACAUCACAAAGCGAAAGGUCUUGUUAUUCAUUAUCUGACUUUGGCAGAGCUUGUAAAGUGCACUGACAUUUAUAAUGAUUCUUUGAAUUUAUGUGCACCCUUUGUCCUUUUAAAGAUCUUAAUUAAGCCACGCAGCUCCCCAAGGAAUACAUAAGCCCAUUUUGAAGAGGUACGGAAACUUAAUACACCCAAAUCAAGGCCAGCCAUGGAUUAAAAUCAGGACAUUUCUAAGAAGGCACCUUAAUAACUGGCCUGGUUUGAAAACAAGGUGGCUGACAACUUUCUAAAGAUUACUACAAUUUUCAGAUGAGGCCAAGUAUCCAUACUUCUGCAAGGAAUCCAGCAGACUCCCUUGAGACUACUUAAAAAUUGUGGGUCAUGUUUUAAAAAUUGAUUUGUAUCCUUCACUAUCUCAAAAGAACUCAAGCCCAUGUGGAUAUACACAGACACAUUUAAAACUACAACGUACAAAUAUCUCAGACCACAAAUCCAUAUAUGUGCUUCAAUUUGCCUGUCAACCCAUAGCAACCCCAUGAAUUUCACUAGGCUCGCUUAGGGAAGAAAUACUCAAAAAUGGUUUUGAUUGGUCCUUCCACUGAAAUAUAGCCUAUGGCACCUGGUAUUCCUUGAUGAUCUCCCAUCCACCAUAUGAACCAGGACUGAUUCUGCUUAUCUUUCAAAAUCAGCUGGGAUCUGGUGUCUUUAGCUAUGUAGGCAAUCACAAAUUACAGAUAUCUGAAAUAAGGAACUAGGGAGUGCCAAGAUCAGGAUGCCACUACUGAGAAAGCCCUAUUGUGUGUCACGCUGGUCUACUCUGCAAAGUUAUUUUGAGUCCUUUGAACAGCUACAGCAGCUGGAGCAAAAAUACAAUUAUUCUUAUUUCUCACCAAACCUGUAGUAAUGCUAAACGGGUGACAUUAAAGUAACCUUUCCUAUAUUUGGUUGCUUAAUGUUGAUUAUAGGGUUGUUACUGCUAUCAGGUAAACUUGACAGAACCCAACAUGUGACAGGCACUUAGACUGACUCUAACUGAGAUUCUAAUUUUGCAAAUGCAUGUAUGCAUAAUAUCAAUGCUAUUCCUAUAUGCAGGUGUUCCAGGCUUCAGUAGUGAGACAAAAAAUAUAAUUGUUUCUUUCUGUAUUACCCCAACCUGUUAUUUUAUAUUUCUCCAUGUUGAUGCUAACUUAUACCUGCCCUAUCCUAGGGUUUCUUGGCAAGAUUUCUUCAGAGGCAGCUAUCCAUUGGCUUCCUCCUAACCAGAAACUUGCCUAAAAUCAUGGAGUGGAUUUCCAUGGCUGAUUUGAACCUUGGUUUCCUAAGGUCAUUCAACAUUCAAACCACUAUAACAUUCAACAUUCAGUCCACUAUAACACUGGUUUUCAUUUCAUCAAGGCAAGUUCUGACAUGGAAACAAAUCAAAUGGGAAGAAACAAAGGGGGAAGGAUUGAUGAGUGUUAAACUUCUAGCUGCUCCAUUAUGGGUCAGUAUUAUUUGUUGCAUGGCAUGUUCUUCAACUGCCUAAUAAUCAGGGGCACGGGCACAAACUGAGUGACCAAGACGGACAGCAAAACACAGCAGAACCUAGUUUGCAUUGCUUUGGAGAAACCUUCCAUGUAACCCCCGCCCCUCUGCAUUGUUUUAAUUGUCAGUUAUUUCAGUCUGUGGGUGAGAUCCUUUUUCAGCAAGUUAGUCAUGUCUUCAAUGGAGCACUGAAGAGCAGUUCAUUUGGACUCUGGGAAAGUCAAUGGAUCAAGUGUGGCAGCGACACAUGGCAACAGAGCAAAGCUGUUUGAAACAAAGGUAAAGCUCAUUCAGUGGUUGUGUUCAAUGGUUGGGGGCAUAGGAUGUGAAUUGGGAGAUCCAGGCUCAAGUCCCCCAAAAACAUGCCUGACCUGGGGCAAGUCACCCUUUUCAACACAUUUACCUAACUGCAGUGUUAUUGUGAGGGUAAAAUAUUCAUGGGGGAGAAGAGAUAAUACAGGCGCUAAGAAGAUGAGGUAGAAGAAAGAAUGGGCAUGAAGAUAACACACAUCUGUAUAAUUAUUUUUGGGGAAAAUAUGGACUUAGCUGUAUGCAUUUCUACAGUGUGUUUGCAAUGAUGCGACUAGAGAGGGCCCUCAGUACCUGAUGGGGUUUGGUUCCAGGACUUCUGUGGACACCAAAAUCUGUGAAUAUUCAAAUCCCAUUAUAUACAACCAAGUAGUGAAAUAAAAUGACAAACCACUCAAGUGCCAGAAAUAGCUUGAAGUUCUGUGAAAUGGCAGGAGGCCACUGUAGGCUUUGUCCACACACUAGUGUGCUUGGCAUGCUGCAAAAUCAAGUGCUUUUUGGAUUUUUCAAAAAAAUAAAUAAUCAAGCCAUGAUUGAUUGAAUUGUGGAUGUAAUAACCAUCGAAUCUGUAUGCAAUAUUUGUUGAUACAAAAGGCUUAUUGCAUGUAAGUUUAGACCAUAGAUUACCAAGUACAGUAGAGUCUCACUUAUCCAACAUAAUUGGGCCGGCAGAAUGUUGGAUAAGCGAAUAUGUUGGAUAAUAAGGAGGCAUUAAGGAAAAUCCUAUUAAACAUCAAAUUAGGUUAUGAUUUUACAAAUGAAGCACCAAAACAUCAUGUUAGACAACAAAUUUGGCAGAAAAAGUAGUUCAAUAUGCAGUAAUGCUAUGUAGUAAUUACUGUAUUUAUGAAUUUAGCACCAAAAUAUCAUGAUAUAUUGAAAACAUUGACUACAAAAAUGCGUUUGAUAAUCCAGAACAUUGGAUAAGCGAGUGUUGGAUAAGUGAAACUCCACUGUAUUUUACUUUUUUGUGAAGUGUUAACCAACUUUUAUCUCUUACCUUUAGUACUUUACCACUGUUUUUAUCCUUGUGAUCUUUUAAAGCAGGAAAACAAAAACAAAAUAAUUGUUUGCCAACUCUGGUUGUGUUUUUAAAGAAAUACUCUAUAUGCAGUUCUGCAUUUUAAAUUCACUUGAAUUGCAGCACUAUCAUUACAGUUGGGGUAAAACAGAGUUUGCAUCCACUCUUCUGUAAGUCAACACAUUUCAAUAAGCACAAUUUUGUUGCAGAAAGAGAUAAAAUAUUUUGAAUGAAAAAAAUUGAUUUGAAUGUGUAUAAUCAUGAGCCAAAAGAUGACAACAUGUUUUCAGAAGGAGGAGGAUGAGAUGAAACAAGUUGUGAUACAGCACAUAACAUCAGUUGUGGUGGACUCUGAGAAUACUGUGCCAGAAGAGAGUUUUUUAUGUGUGUCAGGAGCAAUUUGAGAAAGGGGAAGUCGCUUCUGGUAUGAGAGAAUUGGCCGUCUGCAAGGACGUUGUCCAGGGGAUGCCUGCAUAUUUGUUGUUUUACCAUCCUUGUGGAAGGCUUCUCUCAUGUCUUCAUAUGGGGAGCUGGAGCUGACAGAGGGAGCUCAUCUGUUCUCUUCCUGGCAACCUUCAAGUCAGCAACCCAACCUUCAAGUCAGCAGUCCUGCCGGCACAAGGAUCUAACCCAUUGAACCAUCGGGGACUCCUGCCAGAAGAGGUGCUAAUACUGAAUAAAAUUAUCACUGGAUUGUCA